This 301-nucleotide ribosomal RNA is filed under the name uncultured bacterium. RNAcentral's name for it is "partial 16S ribosomal RNA". It matches the Rfam family "Bacterial small subunit ribosomal RNA", at positions 509 to 807 of the family's 1533-position model. The record is from RNAcentral.
CAGCCGCCACGGUAAUACGAAGGGGGCUAGCGUUGCUCGGAAUUACUGGGCGUAAAGGGCGCGUAGGCGGACAUUUAAGUCAGAGGUGAAAGCCCAGGGCUCAACCUUGGAACUGCCUUUGAUACUGGGUGUCUAGAGUGCGGGAGAGGUGUGUGGAACUCCGAGUGUAGAGGUGAAAUUCGUAGAUAUUCGGAAGAACACCAGUGGCGAAGGCGACACACUGGCCCGUAACUGACGCUGAGGCGCGAAAGCGUGGGGAGCAAACAGGAUUAGAUACCCCAGUAGUCCCUGUCUCUUAUAC